Long non-coding RNA from Rhagoletis zephyria (snowberry fruit fly), 3727 nucleotides. RefSeq lists it as uncharacterized. Lineage: Eukaryota; Metazoa; Arthropoda; Insecta; Diptera; Tephritidae. The record is from RefSeq and is a predicted model, not a curated record.
AAGUCUUGAAUUUACAUAUACUCCCAUAGUACAUGUGAAUACUUAUUUUUUUCAAGUGAGAUACUGGUAAUCGAUACAGCCAUUGAAAGUUUUACACAACAUAUAAAAGAGGUAGCGGUAACUAAAUUUUUGUAUUUUUUUUUGGUUAUGACACUAUUGAAGUAAAUGAGCGAUACGUAUCUCUGGUGUCAGGUAUAGAAAUUAUAACUCCAUUUUUGCUUUUUUUUAGUUUUUAAUUAAAGUAAAAUAAAUGUGUGCUUAGAUGUAAGAAGUAGCACUUGCUAUAACAUCCCAUUUCUAUGUACAAUAAUUCUUGUUUAUGAAGUCCAAAAAUGUAUUCCCCCGGCGUUUAUAAUUAGGGCUAUCACCGAAUCCAUCGUAGAACGAUUUUUCGUGAAACCUACGAAAAUGCUACCACUGAAUACACAGGUUCGUAUCAAUUCGGUUUCAGAGAUCGCAUUUUUGUAGAUUUCGCGAUAUAUCGCAUUACGAUGGGUGCUGUGAUAGCCCCCAAUGUUUCAUCACAAAUGCGAAUGGCACUUCCUUGAACUAAAGUUAUGAUUUUCUUACCAGUCACCACAGAAAAAGUUAUGUUUUUCCUACCUGACACCACAGCUAUGUCAAGCACGCAGAUUUUUCGGCAACCGUCAUCAAGCAGUUUUUUGCCAUUUCACCAAGAAUGGCAUCUUUUUAAGAGACUACGUUCAGUUCUUAAUAAAAAAUUACUACAUACUUCAUGAUUUCAGUCACAAGUAGCCUAUAUGUUUAUCUCUACCAUCUGGUUCUUUUUUAACAUCACACAUUUAUCUCUUCUGAAAAAAAUUCACUUUGGCCGGAUAAAAUUCAUUUAUUUUAAAUACAUAUGUUACUUCAAUAUUUCCUGUUCACUAGUAGUUUGAAGCGGACAUAUUUAGUGCCUUUGGAAAAAAAAAACCUUGAUCGCUGAAUAUUGUUCAGUGCAAAUAAGCAUAAUGAAGAGAAAUUCCACUUGACGGUUGCCUAAACAGUUUUUGCAUGGACACACAUAAAUAUAAAUAGCCUCCAGUAAUUUAUGAAGGUGUGCAUUAAAGCAUUGAGCGGAAAUCAGCGUGGGUUUUGCAAAAUUUCACGUUGAAGCUUUCCAAAAAAACAUGCAAUAAGAUUUUUAAAUUCGUUGUUUUUCAGCUACCAUAAAAUAGUUCCCUUUUUGCAGCCUCUCAAUAUUUAGGAUUUUCAAAAGUAAUUGCCAACAAUGAAAAUAUAGUAGCGAAAUAUUUAAAUAAUUAAACCUCUUCCGCAUCACUUCAAAUCCGCCUACUGAUUUCUGCACACUGCUUUUAAUGAAACUUUAUUGGUUCAACACAGUUCAGAAUAGGUCUGUUAAUGUAACAUUUAAUUUUAUUACAAGAAAAAACAGCAACAACAAAGCAGAAAUAUAAACGUAACCAUAACCAUAUCGGAACCAUAAUUUCAAACCAUAAUUAUUAGUCAUUAACUUAUGUUAAUCAUAAUCAUAGUCAGCAUUAACUUUCUUUUAAAGAUACACAUUUGCCCUCACCUUCGUUGUUUUGCAUUACAAAAGAAAAAUCUUGAAAUAAGAUAUAAAUUUCCACGAAAGCUCUGCAAGUUGGUGUAGCUGCUUUCACAAAAGCUUUAAAGCUCACCGUCAAACCUUGGCCACUUGUAGGGCGUAUCCCUCUAGUGCGCAUAACUUGCACCUAUACUGAUCUUUUCGCUUCAAGUCACUAUCGGUUUUAUAAUUAUUAUUAUAUUUAUAUUAAUAUCACACAAAUUAAGGAUUACACUUUAUAACUUUGUAGCUUAUUCAUGAAUUACAAAUCGGUUCGUAUUCCGUUUGUAAACGUGAAAAGCGUUUUCAUAAUAAUAUUAAAAAAUCUUUAAUCCCUUGAUUUUUCUCUUUAUUGAAAUAUAUAUAUAAAUAAUUUUCCCAUCUGUCCGCUUAAUCACUUUAAUAUUAAUAAAAAAAAAAAUAAAAAUGCUUGUCGGGCUUAAAAAAACACAAACAAGUACACAUGCAGACUAAAUAUUUGUUAGUUUCUAAAUUAGAAAUAAUUCAAUUCUAAUUUGUUUUAUUUACAUACAUCUCAAUCAUAUGUUUUAUCUUAAAACUUUUAGCUCGUAAAAUAUUUCGAACAAAUUGUACAAAUUUUCAUUCAAUCACCUUCGUUACCUACAAUUUUUUAUCCAAAUUUGUAAAAUUUCUAGCACUUGUAAACUAAUUUAUUACAAUAGCAGUUUCAAUAAAGCUCGACAGCAAAUAAAAAAACACAGCUUAUUUUUAUUUUAAACUGGGUGAACCCGUUUUUAAUUCUCCAUGCCACAUGAGUAAAGGAAAUUUCGUUGCGCAGCUUGGUGACGAUUAUUAAAGCUGCAUAAACUGCAUUUUGCAACUGAAGUUAAGGGAACAUAAACAUUUAUUGGACAAUCAAAUCUAAAACUUUCAAGAUUUUGCAUUACAGAUUAUCAUUUUGUUGAGCUAUCACCCCAUAGGACUGGUCAUUGGACUGAAGCAGAGGUAAAUAUCAUAAUCAUUUAUCUAAAUCACUUACCUUCUUUAUGCCAAAAUUUUCUUCCCAGGUUAUUUGCCACCUUAAGCAAAGAAUUUUUCCCUACUUGACCUUCACCUGACCUUGAACCUGACAUGAUGGGGCUAACAGACGUCGGAUUCACAUUCAGCCCGUCGAAUAACAUAGGGAUAUAGAGGUGCCUGGAUCAAAAGCUGUUCAUAUAUAAACACACCCAUUUAGACCAGGUAUUGAUGAACUAAUAUCUACAAACUGUGCUGAAAGCACGCUGUAAAUGGGGAAUUCAAUCCACGGCUUCAUAAAAUGCAUUUUGGAUGAUUAUUGGCUACCUACAGCAAUAUGUCAACAAGGAAAUGUCAAAUUCUGAUCGGAUUAACAAAUCUAAACUGUAUAGAUUUUUUCAUAGAUUACCAUUUCGUUGAGCUAUUUAAUAAUUAACAGAAUUGGGCUGGACUGAAGGGAAGGUCUGCAUGCAAGCCGCCUGCCUCAGCAGUUCUUCAUAUAACAGCAAUUCGUAUACCACACAUGUUUCAACCUGGUAUCAACGAGCAUUAAAUGCAAUUAAAUGUAUAACUGGGACACAGUAGAAGCAAGAAUUGUAAAAUAUAUAUCCAAAAUCGGACAAACACCUGCUUUUAAAUUAUGUUCGGUACAUUAAUAUAAUAGAGAAAUGACUCAAAUUUGAAUUGCAGAUUUCCACUUCCUGGAAGCUAUAUUUUGUGAUCAUCUGAAUUAGGCAGGAUUGAUGCGAAGGUGUUUGGCUAAAUUAGAUGAAAAUAACCUUGUAUAUGUAACAGCAAAUCGAGUCCAACAGCCUGCGACCAUACACAUUUCGGUCUGCUUGCAACACCUCGAUGUUAACCUGCUUGAAAGGAAAGAAAAAGCUGUAUAUUCGGUACGUUAAUAUCAUGGAGAAAAAAAAACUAAAAAUAUCGAAGCAGCACUGGACUACAACGGCGAUUGUAUUCUUUUCAUUGCCUACGGCGCCAGAUUUGAUUCCAAUUUUGGAUCGCUGAACUGGAGUGGUUUCGCCAGAAUGUUUCAUUGCCUACGGCGCCAGAUUUGAUUCCAAUUUUGGAUAGCUGAACUGGAGUGGUUUCGCCUUAUGUUUCAGAAUUCAUACAUACAUUUUAAUAAUAAUGCAUAAAAUAUUUAUUUAUAAACGACACUUUUAUUGUAAUUUCACUUCUAAUUUUUGUUAA